CACGGAGGGUGCAAGCGUUGUUCGGAAUCACUGGGCGUAAAGGACGCGUAGGCGGUCCGGUCAGUCGGAAGUGAAAUCCAUCGGCUCAACCGAUGAACGGCUUCCGAUACUACCGGACUUGAGUACGGGAGAGGAAAGCGGAAUUCCCAGUGUAGAGGUGAAAUUCGUAGAUAUUGGGAAGAACACCGGUGGCGAAGGCGGCUUUCUGGACCGAUACUGACGCUGAGGCGUGAAAGCGUGGGGAGCAAACAGG
Molecule: ribosomal RNA, 253 nt
Filed under: uncultured prokaryote
Description: partial 16S ribosomal RNA
Rfam family: Bacterial small subunit ribosomal RNA
Source: RNAcentral